Molecule: ribosomal RNA, 196 nt
Filed under: uncultured Vibrionaceae bacterium
Lineage: Bacteria; Pseudomonadati; Pseudomonadota; Gammaproteobacteria; Vibrionales; Vibrionaceae
Description: partial 16S ribosomal RNA
Rfam family: Bacterial small subunit ribosomal RNA
Source: RNAcentral
UCCUACGGGAGGCAGCAGUGGGGAAUAUUGCACAAUGGGCGCAAGCCUGAUGCAGCCAUGCCGCGUGUAUGAAGAAGGCCUUCGGGUUGUAAAGUACUUUCAGCAGUGAGGAAGGGGUGGUGUUUAAUAGACACCAUUCUUGACGUUAGCUGCGGAAGAAGCACCGGCUAACUCCGUGCCAGCAGCCGCGGUAAUA